Molecule: ribosomal RNA, 460 nt
Filed under: uncultured bacterium
Lineage: Bacteria
Description: partial 16S ribosomal RNA
Rfam family: Bacterial small subunit ribosomal RNA
Source: RNAcentral
CCUACGGGAGGCAGCAGUGAGGAAUAUUGGUCAAUGGGCGGAAGCCUGCACCAGCCAAGUCGCGUGAGGGAAUAAGGCCCUACGGGUCGUAAACCUCUUUUGCCGGGGAGCAAGGGCCGGGACGCGUCCCGGCCCGGAGAGUACCCGGAGAAAAAGCAUCGGCUAACUCCGUGCCAGCAGCCGCGGUAAUACGGAGGAUGCGAGCGUUAUCCGGAUUUAUUGGGUUUAAAGGGUGCGUAGGCGGGCUUUUAAGUCAGCGGUAAAAAUUCGGGGCUCAACCCCGUCCGGCCGUUGACACGGGGGGCCUUGAGUGGGCGAGAAGAAGGCGGAAUGCGUGGUGUAGCGGUGAAAUGCAGAGAGAUCACGCAGAACUCCGAUUGAGAAGGCAGUAUACCGGCGCCCAACUGACGCUGAAGCACGAAAGCGUGGGUAUCGAACAGGAUUAGAUACCCGUGUAGUC